Molecule: long non-coding RNA, 4690 nt
Organism: Dinoponera quadriceps
Lineage: Eukaryota; Metazoa; Arthropoda; Insecta; Hymenoptera; Formicidae
Exons: 3
Source: RefSeq, a predicted model, not a curated record
UACACAUACAUACAAAUAUCUCUGAUACACACACACACACACACAAAACAGGCACACAAUCACACACGUACACAUACAGAGUCGAGAAGCCGGACGUGUCAACUCUCACGGGGCACCCAUCUUCUACUUUUCUUUUGAGUUUUCUCAUCCCUUAAUCGCGCUUUCGUACCUCACUGUGUUCAUCAUCGAUGAUCGGUGCCUAAUAAGAAAACGAGCAAAAACGGAGAGAUCGCUGAUUGCUGAGAGGAAGAGAGAUAAGAAUAGGAGGAAGAGAAAGAGUGAGGGGGGGAGGGAAGGGAGAGGGGCGAAAAGUCCGAAGGGCGCUUCGGAAAAUGCGCGUGGGGUGCGUCCGAUGCGGGGAAUGUGACACGUCCGCGCGCCCGCGCGCGCGAUAUGAAUGAAAAAUAAACAUAUAAAUUACACACGUAUGUAAGUAACUUUUAGAGUAUUUGAGUAAAAAAGAGGCAUACACAUAGUUGAUAGCGUUUUAUUAAAUGUUGUGAAAAAGUCUGUCUCGUCUGUCGUCUGAAUGUGCCGUCUCUUUCUAGUUUAUGCCGUCGGAGCGCGUUUGGCGCUGAAACGCGACGUUAAAACACCCCUCGCUUUCCCGUUUCGCAUUUUGAUAUGAAUUAAUUCACUGAUUAUCUCGACGGGAAAUUUUUUCACGAUUCGGGGAUUUAACUCAUGACCGUUAGGAAAUAAGGGACUUCGAUUGCGAUCCUCGAUUGCUCGAUAAGUCAAAUUUGAUAAAUUCAGAAUAAAUUUGAUAAUUAAAACCGCAUACAGCCACGCUCGGCGCCAAAAGCGCGACGACAAGGGUCGUGUCGCCGUGUCAUUUACUGUUGGAAAAUUCUGGCUUCGAGAAAAAGAAAGACAUCCCCUCGUCCUCUCUCCACAACCAUCUUGUUUGAUCGCUCAUAAGGUAGCCCUUCUGUUAUAUUUCAAUCUUUCACGUUGACCUCACGUUUAAGCGAAUUUGAGUUAUUAAAUUUUCUAACAGAAUAUCACCCUGUUAACAAUGACAUCCGUGUUUUCUCUCAAUUGUUCGUCGACUUAGAUCUAGAUUAUCAUAAUCAAUCUAAAAAAGUUGAAGCUCGCGAAGUAAAAGAAGCUACUUGAGAGACGGAUAAAAUCCGAGCACACCGAUUAUGAAAGAAGAGGCUGACUGCGACGGGUGGAAAAACACCGAAUUUACCGAUAGUCGCGAAACGUUACGCGAUUUCACGGGGCGACAGAGCCCGCGGGGGCUUUCAAGAUCGGUCCGAAGAUGGAAAUACCGUGACCGUCGCUCUGUUCUCUUCGGAAAGCAGGAGCAAAAGCGGCGAAGCGAUUCUAAACGCCGCGCAUCGAGUCUCUCUUUUCAUGGCCGUCGCUCAUGGAUCACGAACGUGAAACCUUGAAGAAGGCGAAGCAAGGCGGAGCUCUGCGAUCUGUGUGUACCAGACUGAUGAACCGGUAAGACACCGCUGCUAUUUGCGAGCAGACACUGCGGAUGCGAAAGUUUCAGGGACAAAAACGACGCGUACGAGAUUUUUGCAAAAUCGAUCUACCAAAUUUCGCGGACCCUCUUUCACUUCCAAGUUUUUUCACGUAGACGCGCGAUAUCCCAAAAAUUUCAGCUUCUCUUCUGCGAUUUACGUCGAGAAUUCAAACGGACAUCUGGAUUAUUUUAUUCUCAUCUUUCAUGUCGAACCAUCAUGAUAUUCACGAGCCGAAUUACAUUUUACUGACUUAAAGUCCACCUAAAAUUGCCCGAAGAACAGGACAGUCGUUUCUUCGAACGAUUUUAGAGUCUCAUUCUUCGAGAUUUCGCGCCACUUUGAAUCUCUCGACGCCUGUCUAAUCGAUUUGACGAUGUAGCGAAUCCGACUGAAAGUUUUGCAAAAAGUCUGUUCGAAAUCGUCCAACCCGAGUACUUCUCCCCCUCCCCCGGUUUUUACACCCUCCGGGCUUUCCUUCGAAUCCAGCGUCGCCUGACCCUUCGACUCGGCCACGACCUGCUGGUCGAUGCGGCCCUGGGUGUACUCGAGCGGACCCGGAGAAGCACCUCCGUCACAAAUGGCGGCACCGUCGUCUCCCCACCCAGGAUCGUCACGGUGGGAAAAACUGUACACCGGCACUCCGGUACGUCGCGCACACAGUCGCACACCGAGGUCCGACUCGCGAGAAGCACGAGCUGCCAAUUUCCCGGCUGGCGCGGCGCGGCGCUCACGCGCUCACGUCCCCGGUGCCCCACACCCCCCGGCCACGCCGCCGCCGUCGUUUUCCUUUCCUUUCGCGAGCCAAAGCGGGGACCGCUCCCCUGUCCCCGUUCCAUCCACGCUGGAGAACAAGCGCUCUCUCGCAGGGAACGGCACUCACUCACUCGCUCACUCCAGAGAAAGAGACAGAGAGAGGGAGAGAGAGAGAGAAGUCGCCGCCCGUCCGUCCGUCCGUCUGUCUGUCCGCGUUCGCGAGCGGUGCAACUCGAUAUAGCGACCGCUCGGCACGAAGAGCUAAGGUGUCGGAGUGCGAAGUUCGGAGCUUCGAGGUUCCUUCGGUAGCGUGAAGUGAGUGAGAAAACUCGUCGGGUGCUUCGGUGUGGAAAAGACAGGGACAGAGAGAGAGGGAGAAAGACGGAGGAGAAAAGAGAGAAAGAGAGGAGAAGGACGACGUGUUAAGGUGUCGUUGACGUUUCGUGUGUCAGUGUCCUCUCCCUGUCUCUCUCCAACUGACGGUUGCGGUGUUGCUCUCCAUCUCUCUCUUAUUCUCGCCCGCUCCGGCCUUCGUCGAGUGCCUGUGAGAGUGCGGUCGUCCAAGGCGUCCAAGGGGGCGCCCUCGGGAGGUACCCUAAGGGUUAUUCCGAGCGACUACCUCAUAGACGACGCCGUCCAACGACGGCACAUAUCCCUAAAUCCCUAUAUUUCCUCCCUCGACUGACACGGUGCGCGCAUAUCCCUAUAGCCCUUAGCAUAUCCGUGAGCCCUUACAGUCUCUCGUCCGGUCCAAUUUCGAUCGUCCUUUUCGCCGACACGCCGAACGCUGUAUCUUUAUAACCGUGAUCCGAACCUGACACUCGCUAUAGUCGCGACUAGAUCCUUUACUACGCGCCACGGUCUACCGUAUCAUAGUAAUUCCUGCAUUAUUCAUACUACGUUUACUAUAUCCGCACAGUCACGCUCGAUAUUACUGUCUCACAUCCCUUUUAGUCACUUCCUCUUCCUCCCUUCUCUACCUUCGUUCUUCCCUACCUCACUUCCGUAAUAUCGCGGUGAAAAACUCAAGGUGAUUACCUCAGAGAGAUCUAUGUUUAACUCUCCCUCAUAUUUCCCCCAAGACUACAAAAGCUUUACAGUCAUCCCUUCGAUCCGUCUUACGGUUUUUUCCUAUCUUUUUCACUUCUGCUCUGAUAUAUCUCGCCCAUUGUGAUCACCCGGUGCGCUCCAUCCCCCCAUUUUUCAUCCGAUUAUAAUCCCCCCUUCCCCCCUCCCCGUGGUCGUUAUUCUCUUCCUCUGCGCGUCUCCCUCCCUUUUCAUUUUCCCGACGCCCGGUAUCCCCCUUUGAGAGUGUCCGAGAGGAGCCGGAAGAAAGAAAAGAAGAGAGCAGACGGAAAGUACCCCUUCGGCGUCGCUCGGUGAAACGUCGUAGCGUUCCUCGGCAUCGUGGCGCGAUGCCGGAUGACAGGUGUCAGGAGCGGCCACCGGUAGAGUCCCACGGGGGUCCCGUCCGGCCGACGGGGCCCAGCGCAGAAUGACGAGCGCGGGCUCGCGCUGCUGCCGGAAGCACCGCGACCAGGAGGAGCGACGAGAACGACGACGACCGCGACGGAGAAGACGACGACGACGAGGACGAGCGAGCGAGCGAGCCCGGGUCCCUCUAGCGCGAGCGGGGGGCUAUGAGCGCUGACAAUGGGGACGACUCCUUGAGGAAGAAGUGUCGAAGCGCGCGACGCGCGUGCCGUGUAAUAUCGGAUCGGCACUUUCGCGAUUCCGAAACGUGCGAAAAUCGCGUCAGACGGAGAUGACGGAAGGACGGAGGGGCGGCGGACAAAGAGAAGCGGCGGGUAUCCGAAAGAGAAGAAGAAGGAGAUUCCUCUCGUUCCGUGCUGAAUUCAGAAUGGACAUCCGCCUUUCUCACGGCGAGGCAUCUCGUGGGAAGAUCGAUUCGAGCAGCAGGUAUACGUCUGACAUGACGGACGUUGUGUCGUGAAGACGAGCGAACGCGGGAUCAAGCGGCCGGCAAAUAAGGGAGAAGAAUAGACCUCAUCCACUUGUGUACACGCUCGCCACGAUAGAAAACUUAGCCUCGAUUCGGGCAUUAGGUUCACUUAAAGCGAUUAGCACGUUUUACACGUCUGAAGAAGGCCAAAAGAGAGAUACCCCGAUGCCAUGAUCGCGACAAUUAUUCGAUGACUUGAGCGACUCCCGUUGAAAUUCGCGCGAAUCCACUUAACGUCGCGGGGACGUGACUCGAGGCGGAGGAGUCGAUUGUAAAAUUCAUAUCGCCACGCGACCGUGUCGGCAAAAACGGUUCCCACCGUAAGUUUGUAUAUCGAAAGAUCAAAGAUUCUCGCGCAUAUAAUGAUGCUAAGAAGAAAUAUUUCGUUGCAUCAAUAUAUAAGAUGCUAAAUAUUUAUACACACAUAUAUAUAUUAAUUGAAACAAAUGUAUCAUGUGAGUAAAUGUCACACGCACAGAAUAUAUAUGAAGAA